GAUGAAGAACGUAUCGAAAUGCGAUAAGUAAUGUGAAUUGCAGAAUUCAGUGAAUCAUCGAAUCUUUGAACGCACAUUGCGCCCGCUGGUAUUCCGGCGGGCAUGCCUAUUCGAGCGUCAUUUCAACCCUCAAGCCCCCGGGUUUGGUGUUGGGGAUCGGCUCUGCCCUUCUGGGCGGUGCCGCCCCCGAAAUACAUUGGCGGUCUCGCUGCAGCCUCCAUUGCGUAGUAGCUAACACCUCGCAACUGGAACGCGGCGCGGCCAUGCCGUAAAACCCCAACUUCUGAAUGUUGACCUCGGAUCAGGUAGGAAUACCCGCUGAACUUAAGCAUAUCAAUAAGCGGAGGA
RNAcentral lists this unclassified non-coding RNA (348 nucleotides) under soil metagenome. RNAcentral describes it as "partial contains 5.8S ribosomal RNA, internal transcribed spacer 2, and large subunit ribosomal RNA". The stretch from base 1 to 120 matches the Rfam family "5.8S ribosomal RNA", at positions 35 to 154 of the family's 154-position model. The record is from RNAcentral.